This 1462-nucleotide ribosomal RNA is filed under the name uncultured Bordetella sp. Its description in RNAcentral is "partial 16S-23S ribosomal RNA intergenic spacer". It matches the Rfam family "Bacterial small subunit ribosomal RNA". The record is from RNAcentral. Lineage: Bacteria; Pseudomonadati; Pseudomonadota; Betaproteobacteria; Burkholderiales; Alcaligenaceae.
ACAGAGAGUUCGAUCCCAUCAGAUUGAACGCUGGCGGGAUGCUUUACACAUGCAAGUCGAACGCAGGCAGCACGGACUUCGGUCUGGGUGGCGAGUGGCGAACGGGUGAGUAAUGGCCUGAACGCCUAGUAGCGGGGGAUAACUACGCGAAAGCGUAGCUAAUACCGCAAUGUCGUAUCUUCAGAAAGUGGGACCUUCGGGUCAGUACUUAUUAGAGUGGCCGAUAUCAGAUUAGCUAGUUGGUGGGGUACCCGGCUCACCGGGCAGCGACGAUCCGUAGCUGGUUUUAUGAGACGACCAGCCACACUGGGACUGAGACACGCCCGGUGACUCCUACGGGAGGCAGCAGCGGGGAAUUUCGGGACAAUGAACCCUGAUCCGAGCCAUCCCGCGAAGAUGAAGGCCUUGGCCGUGUACACUGGCAGGAGAAACGGCACUUGAGCCACCUCGUGCAACUGACGGUACCUGCAGAAUAAGCACCGGCUAACUACGUGCCAGCAGCCGCGGUAAUACGUAGGUGCAAGCGUUAAUCGGAAUUACUGCUGCAAGCGUGCGCAGGCGGCUCGGAAAGAAAGAUGGAAUCCCAGAGCUUAACUUUGAACCGCAUUUUAACUACCGAGCUAGAGUGUGUCAGAGGGAGGUGGAAUUCCGCGUGUAGCAGUGAAAUGCGUAGAUAUGCGGAGGAACACCGAUGGCGAAGGCAGCCUCCUGGGAUAACACUGACGCUCAUGCACUGAGCGUUGGGAGCAAACAGAGCUUGAGAUUCUGUAGUCCACGCCCUAAACGAUGUCAACUAGCUGCUGGGGCCUUCGGGCCUUGGUAGCGCAGCUAACGUGCGUGAAGCGACCGCCUGGGGAGCAUUGUCGACAAAAACUCAAAGGAAUUGACGGGGACCCCGCACAAGCGGUGGAUGAUGGGAUUAAUUCGAUGCAACGCGAAACCUUACCUACCCUUGACAUGUCUGGAAUCCCGAAGAGAUUUGGGAGUGCUCGCAAGAGAACCGGAACACAGGUGCCGCAUGGCUAUCGUCAGCUCGUGUCGUGAGAUGUUGGGUUAAGUCCCGCAACGAGCGCAACCCUUGUCAUUAGUUGCUACGAAAGGGCACCUAAUGAGACUGCCGGUGACAAACCGGAGGAAGGUGGGGAUGACGUCAAGUCCUCAUGGCCCUUAUGGGUAGGGCUUCACACGUCAUACAAUGGUCGGGACAGAGGGUCGCCAACCCGCGAGGGGGAGCCAAUCCCAGAAACCCGAUCGUAGUCCGAAUCGCAGUCUGCAACUCGACUGCGUGAAGUCGGAAUCGCUAGUAAUCGCGGAUCAGCAUGUCGCGGUGAAUACGUUCCGGCUCCACACACCGCCCGUCACACCAUGGGAGUGGGUUUUACCAGAAGUAGUUAGCCUAACCGUAAGGAGGGCGAUUACCACGGUAGGAUUCAUGACUGGGGUGAAGUCGUACUGAAGGUAA